AGCGAACGCUGGCGGCAGGCUUAACACAUGCAAGUCGAGCGCGUGUAGCAAUACACGAGCGGCAGACGGGUGAGUAACACGUGGGAACGUGCCUUUUGGUUCGGAAUAACUCAGGGAAACUUGAGCUAAUACCGAAUAAGCCCUUCGGGGGAAAGAUUUAUCGCCGAAAGAUCGGCCCGCGUAAGAUUAGCUUGUUGGUGAGGUAACGGCUCACCAAGGCUACGCACUUUAGCUGGUCUGAGAGGAUGAUCAGCCACAUUGGGACUGAGACACGGCCCAAACUCCUACGGGAGGCAGCAGUGGGGAAGAUUGGACAAUGGGCGCAAGCCUGAUCCAGCCAUGCCGCGUGAGUGAUGAAGGCCUUAGGGUUGUAAAGCUCUUUUAGCAGGGACGAUAAUGACGGUACCUGCAGAAAAAGCCCCGGCCAACUUCGUGCCAGCCGCCGCCGUAA
This 451-nucleotide ribosomal RNA is filed under the name uncultured bacterium. Its description in RNAcentral is "partial 16S ribosomal RNA". It matches the Rfam family "Bacterial small subunit ribosomal RNA", at positions 29 to 523 of the family's 1533-position model. The record is from RNAcentral.